RNAcentral lists this ribosomal RNA (465 nucleotides) under Vreelandella stevensii. RNAcentral's name for it is "partial 16S ribosomal RNA". It matches the Rfam family "Bacterial small subunit ribosomal RNA", at positions 338 to 795 of the family's 1533-position model. Lineage: Bacteria; Pseudomonadati; Pseudomonadota; Gammaproteobacteria; Oceanospirillales; Halomonadaceae. The record is from RNAcentral.
CCUACGGGAGGCAGCAGUGGGGAAUAUUGGACAAUGGGCGAAAGCCUGAUCCAGCCAUGCCGCGUGUGUGAAGAAGGCCUUCGGGUUGUAAAGCACUUUCAGUGGGGAAGAAAGCCUUGGGGCUAAUACCCUCGAGGAAGGACAUCACCCACAGAAGAAGCACCGGCUAACUCCGUGCCAGUAGCCGCGGUAAUACGGAGGGUGCGAGCGUUAAUCGGAAUUACUGGGCGUAAAGCGCGCGUAGGCGGUCUGAUAAGCCGGUUGUGAAAGCCCCGGGCUCAACCUGGGAACGGCAUCCGGAACUGUCAGGCUAGAGUGCAGGAGAGGAAGGUAGAAUUCCCGGUGUAGCGGUGAAAUGCGUAGAGAUCGGGAGGAAUACCAGUGGCGAAGGCGGCCUUCUGGACUGACACUGACGCUGAGGUGCGAAAGCGUGGGUAGCAAACAGGAUUAGAUACCCGGGUAGUC